This 496-nucleotide ribosomal RNA is filed under the name uncultured Beutenbergiaceae bacterium. Its description in RNAcentral is "partial 16S ribosomal RNA". The record is from RNAcentral. Lineage: Bacteria; Bacillati; Actinomycetota; Actinomycetes; Micrococcales; Beutenbergiaceae.
CACGUAGUUAGCCGGCGCUUCUUCUGCAGGUACCGUCACCCGAAAGCUUCUUCCCUACUGAAAGAGGUUUACAACCCGAAGGCCGUCAUCCCUCACGCGGCGUCGCUGCAUCAGGCUUUCGCCCAUUGUGCAAUAUUCCCCACUGCUGCCUCCCGUAGGAGUCUGGGCCGCGUCUCAGUCCCAGUGUGGCCGGUCACCCUCUCAGGCCGGCUACCCCGUCAUCGCCUUGGUAGGCCUUUCACCCCACCAACAAGCCUGAUAGGCCGCGAGCCCAUCCCAGACCAGAAACCCUUUCAACAACCCGACAUGCAUCAGGAAGUGAUAUCCAGUAUUAGCCCCGGUUUCCCGGAGUUAUCCCAGAGUCCUGGGGCAGGUUACUCACGUGUUACUCACCCGUUCGCCACUAAUCAAGGAUGCAAGCACCCAUCAUCGUCGACUUGCAUGUAGUAAGCACGCCGCCAGUCGUUCGUCCUCGUAGCCUAGGACUCAAACGUCU